UUAAAGUGGCAGAUUUAUGCGAGGAAUUUAAGCUUCCUAUAUGAGUAGUUUCCUUUAAC
Molecule: transfer RNA, 59 nt
Filed under: Ixodes simplex
Lineage: Eukaryota; Metazoa; Arthropoda; Arachnida; Ixodida; Ixodidae
Description: tRNA-Leu
Source: RNAcentral